GACGAACGCUGGCGGCGUGCUUAACACAUGCAAGUCGAACGCUGAAGACCUGGCUUUUGUUGGGUUGGAUGAGUGGCGAACGGGUGAGUAACACGUGAGUAACCUGCCCUCUUCUUUGGGAUAACGCCCGGAAACGGGUGCUAAUACUGGAUAUUCACUGGCCUUCGCAUGGGGGUUGGUGGGAAGGUUUGUUCUGGUGGGGGAUGGGCUCGCGGCCUAUCAGCUUGUUGGUGGGGUGAUGGCCUACCAAGGCUUUGACGGGUAGCCGGCCUGAGAGGGUGACCGGUCACAUUGGGACUGAGAUACGGCCCAGACUCCUACGGGAGGCAGCAGUGGGGAAUAUUGCACAAUGGGCGAAGGCCUGAUGCAGCGACGCCGCGUGAGGGAGGGAGGCCUUCGGGGUGUAAACCUCUUUCGCUCAUGGUCAAGCCGCAACUGUGGGUUGUGGUGAGGGUAGUGGGUAAAGAAGCGCCGGCUAACUACGUG
This 486-nucleotide ribosomal RNA is filed under the name uncultured bacterium. RNAcentral describes it as "partial 16S ribosomal RNA". It matches the Rfam family "Bacterial small subunit ribosomal RNA", at positions 28 to 507 of the family's 1533-position model. The record is from RNAcentral.